UCCCUGGUAGCUCAAUGGUAGAGCAGGCGGCUGUUAACCGCAAGGUUGCUGGUUCGAGCCCAGCCCGGGGAG
Molecule: non-coding RNA, 72 nt
Organism: Candidatus Wirthbacteria bacterium CG2_30_54_11
Lineage: Bacteria; Candidatus Wirthbacteria
Source: Rfam